CCUACGGGUGGCAGCAGUAGGGAAUUUUCGGCAAUGGGGGGAACCCUGACCGAGCAACGCCGCGUGAAGGAAGAAGGACUUCGUUCUGUAAACUUCUGUUAUCAAGGAAGAAAGUCGGAUUGAGGAAAUGACAUCCUAUUGACGGUACUUUAUUAGACAGCCCCGGCUAACUACGUGCCAGCAGCCGCGGUAAUACGGAGGGUGCGAGCGUUAAUCGGAAUUACUGGGCGUAAAGCGCUCGUAGGCGGUAUGUCAAGUCAAGAGUGAAAUCCCAGCGCUCAACGUGGGAAAUGCCUUUGAAACUGGCAAACUGGAGUGUGUGAGAGGAUAGUGGAAUUCCAGGUGUAGGAGUGAAAUCCGUAGAUAUCUGGAGGAACAUCAGUAGCGAAGGCGACUAUCUGGCACAUAACUGACGCUGAGGAGCGAAAGCGUGGGUAGCAAACAGGAUUAGAUACCCUGGUAGUC
This 465-nucleotide ribosomal RNA is filed under the name uncultured bacterium. RNAcentral's name for it is "partial 16S ribosomal RNA". It matches the Rfam family "Bacterial small subunit ribosomal RNA", at positions 338 to 795 of the family's 1533-position model. The record is from RNAcentral.